Molecule: ribosomal RNA, 504 nt
Filed under: uncultured bacterium
Lineage: Bacteria
Description: partial 16S ribosomal RNA
Rfam family: Bacterial small subunit ribosomal RNA
Source: RNAcentral
AUUGAACGCUGGCGGUAGGCCUAACACAUGCAAGUCGAACGGUAGCACAGAGAGCUUGCUCUCGGGUGACGAGUGGCGGACGGGUGAGUAAUGUCUGGGAAACUACCUGAUGGAGGGGGAUAACUACUGGAAACGGUAGCUAAUACCGCAUAACGUCGCAAGACCAAAGAGGGGGACCUUCGGGCCUCUUGCCAUCAGAUGUGCCCAGAUGGGAUUAGCUAGUAGGUGGGGUAACGGCUCACCUAGGCGACGAUCCCUAGCUGGUCUGAGAGGAUGACCAGCCACACUGGAACUGAGACACGGUCCAGACUCCUACGGGAGGCAGCAGUGGGGAAUAUUGCACAAUGGGCGCAAGCCUGAUGCAGCCAUGCCGCGUGUAUGAAGAAGGCCUUCGGGUUGUAAAGUACUUUCAGCGGGGAGGAAGGCGAUACGGUUAAUAACCGUGUUGAUUGACGUUACCCGCAGAAGAAGCACCGGCUAACUCCGUGCCAGCCGCCGCCGUAA